Molecule: long non-coding RNA, 3933 nt
Organism: Xenopus laevis (African clawed frog)
Lineage: Eukaryota; Metazoa; Chordata; Amphibia; Anura; Pipidae
Exons: 8
Source: RefSeq, a predicted model, not a curated record
CUGACGGGCAGUAGUUGCCUCUGAUGGGGAGUAGGGUGAGAGCCAGGCAGCAAGGUGCCCCAGUCUCAUCCUUAUUAUUAUUAUUAUUAUUAUUAAAUGGUAACGGCAGCAAAUAGCAGCUUCUUCUUAGCUUGUUGCUAUGGUUGCUACAGGUGGGAAACCGGCGCCGAUUUACUUGUAUUAGAAUGUGAGCCCGUUUGGGCAGGAUUCUUGCUCCCGUGUGUGUCACUUUGUUCGUUCCAUGUCUGUACAGCGCUACUGAAUAUGCAGGUGCACAACAUUACAGACAGAUCAGAAAUCCGUUUAUAUGUGGCAGAUGCAAAUUUCAGCCGGGUGCAGGUUUCUUCUCAGACAAAUCAUUGGCUCCGGGUGUUGGUUUUGGCUGUUUCACCCCCAGCCUGGCAUUAUGAUUUUUUUUUCUCUCUAUGUAUUUGCAAAUAACACUCAUAUGUUCAGUCUAUUCCAACUGGUACUCGAUCACCGGAAUAAUUGCCCAAAAGGAAUAGUGGCAAACACAAGCUGCAGAAACUGAAGGCAACAGGUGGGUUAUUAUUGUUAUCCCUGGCUGAUCUCUCUGCAAACUCCCAAGCCUGCGUCUGUCUGCUGCUCUAUUCUGUCUGCUUCCCCUUGGCACAGCUGUCUGGGUGCUAAUGGCAAUAUUGUCUGGGUUUUCUAGGUGGAUCUAGCUUGUAUGUUCAGCCUUGUGUGUGCAAUAGAUGGGCUUCAUAUAUGUGUCUGUGCUUUAUUAUGCUACCUGUAGUAUAUGUCAAGAUAAAUGUGUUUUACAGACAAUUGCCCUGAUAAGAAGCCACAUUUGAUCCCUUGGCACCCAGGGCAUGAUGGAAGAAGAUCAGCUGUUAUUGAUUGUGGUGUUGCCCUGCGAUUGUAGUCAUUAGCCACUUUCCACUCACUGCUCAUUCAGAAUGGAGGAUCUUUAGUGUUUGCAGAUGACCUAGUGCCAAUUACUUUAAGGGCGCAGAAUAUUUUAAUCAGAAAUGGCGGAGCUCUUCACAUGUGUCCAUAUGUCCAUAUAGAUCCAAUGCUACCAUCUCUCUUUAUGGGAAGUCUACAGAAGGUGAAGAUGUAGAAGACUUUGGAAAGAAGUUCUUAAGCGUGGACUCAGGAGGAAUUUUGAAAUUACAUGGAAGGAAACCAUUAUCCUGGACUUUGUUAGAUGCAACCUUGCAUCCAGGAGGACUUCCCAAUGGACCAUAUAAGUGGGAGAAGCACUGGGGCUGCAGGGGCAUUAAUAUAAGAAUCAUUGACCCUGAAACUGGGCAGGUGCUAGCUGCUGAUCGAUUUGAGACCCACAUGUUUCUCGAUGAAGGGAAAAAGCUGCAAGAGUUCCUUUCUCAACAGGGUCCAGGCAAGAUACUGGCAACAGCAGUUGGUGACUCAGCAGCCAAGAGUUUAAUCCCUGACACAAGAAGAUUCCUAAAAGAAGCUUUGAACAGCAGAUAUAUCUUUCACUUAGGCUACAGGUUCGUUGAUGGUAGCAGAGGACAGAAAGCAAUAUGAAGCAAUGGGACCACUGGUCUUGCAACUGCCACAAGGGAAUUCCAGACAUACUCUGGACUUCACUUUACUGUAACUGCUUACAGCGGCUGGAUUAAAGGAGUUCCACAGAAUUUAUUCCGAGUGGCGGUGUCUAGGGGCAUCAUCCUCACAUUACUCGAUGAUGUUACAAGUUUGUUGCCUGGUAACAGAAUAGUCAUUUCUAGUACCGACUACUCAAUGCACCAGACUGAAGAAUCCUCCCUGCUUCCCUGUACUGAAUGCAGGAGUAAUCAAGUCAAAAUUGGAGGUGAAAGGCACAAUUGGUUAUGACACAUUGGGGCACUGUUUUUUCCUAGAGGAUGGUGUUGAACAAAGAAAUACAUUUUAUCAUAACCCUCGGAUUGCUAACAAAGGCUGGGAACAUCUUGCCCACAGACCGAAAUGAAGCCAUGUGUCUUGCUAUUCGAGAUUAUGUCUAUGGAGUUUAUAUUCCUGUGCCGAGCACUGACUGCAUGGCUGUCAGCACUUUUUGGAUUGCAAACCCUAAUGACAAUUUAAUUGGAAAUGCUGCAGGAGGAGCUCAGGAUGUUGGCAUAUGGUUCAUAUUCCACCGAGUUCCCUCUGGCCUUUGUCUGCCUUUGUUUGUGAUCCUGAAGGCCGAAUUAUUCAAUGGCAAUGCCAAUUGCAAUUGCUGAGAAUCCAAGGGAAUAUUUGACAGUGGAUAAUGCCAGGACCUUCCCAGUUCGAGGGUUCCAAAUAUAUGAUGGGCCUGUCGGGCUCCUGAAGUGCACUUUCAAGAAAUUUUUUCCUGCUCUGGACAGACCUGUGAGUGCUAUUGGAUUCUCCUUGAAAAAUUCUUGCCAGAUAACUCCACAGAAUAACAUGUCCCUGGUCAAGAUGGAGAGGAAUAUGAGUGAAAUUAAUUUGGAGGAUUACCAAAGCACUGAAAGAGUCAAAAUUAUUCAUUUUAGUUAAUAUGCUUAUUAUUUACACUUUAUAAACAACCUCUUGGUCACUUAUUCCAUUCCCACUGUGUAGCAGAAACCAAGCAUUUGCAUUGCCAAUUAGAAUCAGUUUUCAGAAUAGACUCCAUAUUCAGAAUGCAAGAAAAGAGAAGUAAACAGUCUAUUCGCCAAUGGCGGUGUCUUUGAUAAUGGCUGCCAGACCACGUGUUUGACACCACUUUCUUUUAAUUUUUGUUUAAAUUAAAGUAGUAUACGUGAUCAGAAAAUGGGAACCUAUUUUUGCAGUUUAUAGCUAUCAGUUGGCCUUAUGCAUCUUUUGGGACUCAUGCAGGAAACCGUCACUUAUUUGUUCCUACCAAACUUCUUACAAUUAGAUCAGUGAGUUUGACUGACAUCAUCACAAUCUGUAAUGCAGACCUUUUUAGUGUCCUGAUCUUGUACUGUAUGAGUAGUCUUCUGUACCAAAGCUGAAUUAGUUAUUGACUGAGACUUUACUCUCUGUUUACUCUGCUUUUGUAGUGUAGCCCAGUAUCGGCAGAAGAUGUCUCCCACCAGUUUUCAGUUUUAUUAAACCACUUCUCCUAUCAUGGAGAACAUACAUUUGCUUGGCAUAAAGAAAUAUAUUAUUAACAAUCUUUCCUGCCAACGAGAGUGGUUGUUUUGACAUGGACCCCACUAUGCUGAUUAGAAUAACAGUUAUAUACUGAAUAUGCUCAUCAGAAGAGGAAAAGGAAACAUCCAUGGUCUGGCUGAAAAGAAACAACAUUAAUGUGUAUGUAACAUAAUAAGCUAAGGCUUGUGUUCUCAUAUGUCUAGGAUAGAGUUGUCCAAUUGGAGGCCUUUGGGCUGGAUCUGGCCCUUCAAAGUUUUAAUAACCCCAAACUGCCAUAGAUUUCUGUUCUGCAAGCAGAUUAGGUAUAGAGAUAUUUUCUGUACCAGUUAUCGGGUGCACCUAUGGAUUACCUGUUAACGUUUUAACCCUUUAGUGCAAGGACACAUGUACAUUAAGAUUCAAACAAACAGAUUUGUGAAACAGAGUAUCUUUCUAUAUUCAUAUUGGACACCUCAACCAAACGGCCUGAAUCUCAUUGUUGACAAAUUGGAUUAGCGAGAUUUAGCCUCCAGCCACACUGGCUGCACAGAAAUCUGUCACUCAGUGGCUGCAUGCAGAAAAUAAUUACAUAUAGAAAAUGCAUAAUAUUUUACAAUGUGUGCCAAAAAUCAGGACAAAACAUGUUAACACUGUACUUUAUGUCAAACUCUCUGUUUGCUUUGGCUUUUUACUCAAAUACCAUAGUGGUAACUGAAGUCAAAAAUCAAUGUCGAGACUUUGUUUUGCUCAAUGAUGGUAACACUAUUAUCUACUUGGGUGAUACUUGAGAUGCUAAUUGUGACUCAACUGUAAGGGGCAGAUUUAUCAAAGGUUGAGGUGAAUUUUCAAAUUGAAAACAUUCUAAUUUUGAGGUAUUUU